GAUGAACGCUAGCUACAGGCUUAACACAUGCAAGUCGAGGGGAAACGAUAGAGAAAGCUUGCUUUUUCUAGGCGUCGACCGGCGCACGGGUGAGUAACGCGUAUCCAACCUGCCCACCACUUGGGGAUAACCUUGCGAAAGUAAGACUAAUACCCAAUGAUAUCUCAAGAAGACAUCUGAAUGAGAUUAAAGAUUUAUCGGUGAUGGAUGGGGAUGCGUCUGAUUAGCUUGUUGGCGGGGUAACGGCCCACCAAGGCGACGAUCAGUAGGGGUUCUGAGAGGAAGGUCCCCCACAUUGGAACUGAGACACGGGCCAAACUCCUACGGGAGGCAGCAGUGAGGAAUAUUGGUCAAUGGGCGAGAGCCUGAACCAGCCAAGUAGCGUGCAGGAUGACGGCCCUAUGGGUUGUAAACUGCUUUUAUAAGGGAAUGAAGUGAGCCUCGUGAGGCUUUUUGCAUGUACCUUAUGAAUAAGGACCGGCUAAUUCCGUGCCAGCAGCCGCCGUAA
This 508-nucleotide ribosomal RNA is filed under the name uncultured bacterium. RNAcentral describes it as "partial 16S ribosomal RNA". It matches the Rfam family "Bacterial small subunit ribosomal RNA", at positions 28 to 523 of the family's 1533-position model. The record is from RNAcentral.